GGAUGAGCGUCAUGUACACAUAACAAAUAAGUUUCAAGGUAAGAGAGAACAAAAUGAUUAGAGCAGAGACAUCUUAGGUGGGGGCUCCCUGCUCCCAGAACUUAGACAUAUAUGGUCUUAAGUGUUGUUUAAGCAUCAAGCAUUUCCUGAGUCCAAGUUAGCCAAUUUUAAUAUAGAAUAUCAUUAUAUGACACCUAUAAGCUUGAGCCUUGGAAUCAAGAUAAAUUCUAUCACAAUCCCCUCUUUUGAUCCAAGAGUCACCCAAAUGUCCAAGGUAUAUCCAGGCCUGCUAGCCAAAGCCUGUGGGACUUUCAUUUAUUGCUUCACCACGGUUCCCUUGUACUGAGAGAC
Non-coding RNA from Pelobates cultripes (western spadefoot toad), 351 nucleotides. The record is from the annotation of a GenBank genome assembly. Lineage: Eukaryota; Metazoa; Chordata; Amphibia; Anura; Pelobatidae.